This 433-nucleotide long non-coding RNA is filed under the name Heterocephalus glaber (naked mole-rat). RNAcentral describes it as "lncRNA (ENSHGLG00000034578.1)". The record is from RNAcentral. Lineage: Eukaryota; Metazoa; Chordata; Mammalia; Rodentia; Bathyergidae.
CAGCACCCCCUAACAGACCUCAUCUUCAGCCCCCAAAACUGACCUGUUGCAAAGGACAAACAAGUCAUGUGAAGAUGAGGACUGUUUGGUUAUUAUUUUGCGCUAAUCUGUCUGUGUUAUCCCUUGUCAUCUGCCCAGGGCAACAGCACUUCACUCAACUAUAUUCUGUACAAGUGUGUGCAGUUCAGUACCACUUAGGAGUCCAAGGUCCUCCUCAACUGCAUAAUGAAGACCAAACCCAGGCUCUCCUGCAUGAGGGGGUAGAUGCAUAUCCAAACCCUGUGGGUGCCUUCCCUGGUUCAGCUGGAUGUACACAGUUUAAUAUGGAUUACUGGAGAUCCACAAAUUCAACCAUCAAAUUAUAUUAGAGUUUCAUUAUUGUCUUCUCUUAAGUUUCUUUAUAAAAUAAAAAUAAAAUCUUUCAACCUUCUGG